GACGUAGGGCGCGAGCGUUGUCCGGAUUUAUUGGGCGUAAAGAGCUCGUAGGCGGCUUGUCGCGUCGACUGUGAAAACUCGGGGCUCAACUCCGAGCUUGCAGUCGAUACGGGCAGGCUAGAGUUCGGUAGGGGAGACUGGAAUUCCUGGUGUAGCGGUGAAAUGCGCAGAUAUCAGGAGGAACACCGGUGGCGAAGGCGGGUCUCUGGGCCGAUACUGACGCUGAUGCGCGACAGCAUGGGGAGCAAACAGG
RNAcentral lists this ribosomal RNA (253 nucleotides) under uncultured bacterium. RNAcentral describes it as "partial 16S ribosomal RNA". It matches the Rfam family "Bacterial small subunit ribosomal RNA", at positions 524 to 776 of the family's 1533-position model. The record is from RNAcentral.